CGUCACCUGCAUCACCCUACAUAUUUUCUCCACUUCAUCCAAGAAACACUUUUAGUCAAACACCUAUAAACAUAUCUUUCUCAUAUACUCUAAACUACCAUAAAUAACAACUUUCUUGCACUAUCCUUAGGAAGACACACAUAGAAUUUCAAACAAACCAUGAAUAAUAUCAAAAGAUCUACCUCGAUCAUCCUUCACACUUAUAGCAUGAAAUACAAUAAGCAUGGAAAAUUUUUUUCCUAUCUUGAGACAUUACGACUAUCAUUUCACAAGAGAAGUUCACUGGAAGGUUAGAAUAUGAGAAUCUAAAGCAUCAAAGGAUACUAUACGUAACUUGGACAGUUAAGUGAGGCC
RNAcentral lists this long non-coding RNA (354 nucleotides) under Capsicum annuum. RNAcentral's name for it is "long non-coding RNA (CANN_LNC019278)". Lineage: Eukaryota; Viridiplantae; Streptophyta; Magnoliopsida; Solanales; Solanaceae. The record is from RNAcentral.